This 259-nucleotide ribosomal RNA is filed under the name uncultured bacterium. RNAcentral's name for it is "partial 16S ribosomal RNA". It matches the Rfam family "Bacterial small subunit ribosomal RNA", at positions 334 to 590 of the family's 1533-position model. The record is from RNAcentral.
GUUUCCUACGGGAGGCAGCAGUGAGGAAUAUUGGUCAAUGGGCGGGAGCCUGAACCAGCCAAGCCGCGUGAGGGAAGAAGGUACAGCGUAUCGUAAACCUCUUUUGUCAGGGAACAAAGGCGGGGACUAGUCCCCGGAUGAGGGUACCUGAAGAAAGAGCAUCGGCUAACUCCGUGCCGGCAGCCGCGGUAAUACGGAGGAUUCGUGCGUUAUCCGGAUUUAUUGGGUUUAAAGGGUGUGCAGGCGGCCUGUUAAGUCA